This 253-nucleotide ribosomal RNA is filed under the name uncultured bacterium. RNAcentral's name for it is "partial 16S ribosomal RNA". It matches the Rfam family "Bacterial small subunit ribosomal RNA", at positions 524 to 776 of the family's 1533-position model. The record is from RNAcentral.
GACAGAGGGUGCAACCGUUGUUCGGAAUUACUGGGCGUAAAGCGCGUGUAGGCUGCUCGGAAAGUCGGAUGUGAAAGCCCUGGGCUUAACCCAGGAAGUGCACUCGAAACUCCCGAGCUCGAGUCCUGGAGAGGAAGGCGGAAUUCUCGGUGUAGAGGUGAAAUUCGUAGAUAUCGAGAGGAACAUCGGUGGCGAAGGCGGCCUUCUGGACAGUGACUGACGCUGAGACGCGAAAGCGUGGGGAGCAAACAGG